CCUACGGGCGGCUGCAGUAGGGAAUCUUCCGCAAUGGGCGAAAGCCUGACGGAGCAACGCCGCGUGAGUGAUGAAGGUCUUCGGAUCGUAAAACUCUGUUAUUAGGGAAGAACAUAUGUGUAAGUAACUGUGCACAUCUUGACGGUACCUAAUCAGAAAGCCACGGCUAACUACGUGCCAGCAGCCGCGGUAAUACGUAGGUGGCAAGCGUUAUCCGGAAUUAUUGGGCGUAAAGCGCGCGUAGGCGGUUUUUUAAGUCUGAUGUGAAAGCCCACGGCUCAACCGUGGAGGGUCAUUGGAAACUGGAAAACUUGAGUGCAGAAGAGGAAAGUGGAAUUCCAUGUGUAGCGGUGAAAUGCGCAGAGAUAUGGAGGAACACCAGUGGCGAAGGCGACUUUCUGGUCUGUAACUGACGCUGAUGUGCGAAAGUGUGGGGAUCAAACAGGAUUAGAUACCCUGGUAGUC
This 465-nucleotide ribosomal RNA is filed under the name uncultured Staphylococcus sp. Its description in RNAcentral is "bacterial SSU rRNA". It matches the Rfam family "Bacterial small subunit ribosomal RNA", at positions 338 to 795 of the family's 1533-position model. The record is from RNAcentral. Lineage: Bacteria; Bacillati; Bacillota; Bacilli; Caryophanales; Staphylococcaceae.